CCUACGGGUGGCUGCAGUGGGGAAUAUUCCACAAUGGGGGCAACCCUGAUGCAGCAACGCCGCGUGAAGGAAGACGGUUUUCGGAUCGUAAACUUCUGUUCUUAGUGAAGAAUAAUGACGGUAGCUAAGGAGCAAGCCACGGCUUACUACGUGCCAGCAGCCGCGGUAAUCCGUAGGUGGCCAGCGUUGUCCGGACUUACUGGGUGUAAAGGGGGCGCAGGCGGGAAGCCAAGUCAGCUGUGAAAACUACGGGCUUAACUUGUAGACUGCAGUUGAAACUGGUGUUCUUGAGUGAAGGAGAGGGUGGCGGAAUUCCGAGGGUAGCGGUGAAAUGCGUAGAUAUACGGAGGAACACCGGUGGCGAAGGCGGCCAACUGGGCUUUAACUGACGCUGAGGCUCGAAAGUGUGGGGAGCAAACAGGAUUAGAUACCCUUGUAGUC
This 441-nucleotide ribosomal RNA is filed under the name uncultured bacterium. RNAcentral's name for it is "partial 16S ribosomal RNA". It matches the Rfam family "Bacterial small subunit ribosomal RNA", at positions 338 to 795 of the family's 1533-position model. The record is from RNAcentral.